RNAcentral lists this ribosomal RNA (506 nucleotides) under uncultured bacterium. RNAcentral describes it as "partial 16S ribosomal RNA". It matches the Rfam family "Bacterial small subunit ribosomal RNA", at positions 29 to 523 of the family's 1533-position model. The record is from RNAcentral.
AGUGAACGCUGGCGGUAGGCCUAACACAUGCAAGUCGAACGGCAGCACAGGAGAGCUAGCUCUCUGGGUGGCGAGUGGCGGACGGGUGAGGAAUACAUCGGAAUCUACUUUUUCGUGGGGGAUAACGUAGGGAAACUUACGCUAAUACCGCAUACGACCUACGGGUGAAAGCAGGGGACCUUCGGGCCUUGCGCGAUUGAAUGAGCCGAUGUCGGAUUAGCUAGUUGGCGGGGUAAAGGCCCACCAAGGCGACGAUCCGUAGCUGGUCUGAGAGGAUGGUCAGCCACACUGGAACUGAGACACGGGCCAGACUCCUACGGGAGGCAGCAGUGGGGAAUAUUGGACAAUGGGCGCAAGCCUGAUCCAGCCAUACCGCGUGGGUGAAGAAGGCCUUCGGGUUGUAAAGCCCUUUUGUUGGGAAAGAAAUCCAGCUGGCUAAUACCCGGUUGGGAUGACGGUACCCAAAGAAUAAGCACCGGCUAACUUCGUGCCAGCAGCCGCAGUAA